Molecule: ribosomal RNA, 504 nt
Filed under: uncultured bacterium
Lineage: Bacteria
Description: partial 16S ribosomal RNA
Source: RNAcentral
GGAGUUAGCCGGUGCUUCUUCUGUGAGUGAUGUCCUUCCUGCCGGCUAUUAACCCGCAGGCCUUCUUCCUCACUGAAAGUGCUUUACAACCCGAAGGCCUUCUUCACACACGCGGCAUGGCUGGAUCAGGGUUGCCCCCAUUGUCCAAUAUUCCCCACUGCUGCCUCCCGUAGGAGUCUGGGCCGUGUCUCAGUCCCAGUGUGGCUGAUCAUCCUCUCAGACCAGCUACGGAUCGUCGCCUUGGUGAGCCGUUACCUCACCAACCAGCUAAUCCGACAUAGGCUCAUCCGAUAGCGCGAGGCCCGAAGGUCCCCCGNUUUCCCCCGUAGGCGUAUGCGGUAUUAGCCUGGGUUUCCCCCAGGGUUAUCCCCCACUACCGGGCAGAUUCCUAUGCAUUACUCACCCGUCCGCCGCUCGCCACCAGGGAGCAAGCUCCCCGUGCUGCCGCUCGACUUGCANGUGUAGCGUGCCGCCAGCGUCAUCUGAGCGAGAUACAACUACUGA